CGGAUGAACUUCCGCAAUGCCUUCUGAAUUUCACUAUCAGCCGACCUUCUGCUAGAUUCCUCAUGCAAUCGGACCUCUCUGGUGGAUAGCCCUCAGACAAGCUUCUACAUCAGGCAAAUUCCAAACGGACUUCUCUGGCAAUCAAAUUUCUACCGAACUUCACCAACAGAUAGUCCCCAUCCGAGCUUUUACAGCAGAUGACUUCCGCCUGCAAUAUCAACGCUCUGGCACCUGACAAUAGUGGACUCAUCAGCAACCUCAAAAAUAUCUGAGCCUCUCUUAGAUUGCAAAGACA
This 295-nucleotide long non-coding RNA is filed under the name Elaeis guineensis (African oil palm). RNAcentral describes it as "long non-coding RNA (EGUI_LNC056047)". Lineage: Eukaryota; Viridiplantae; Streptophyta; Magnoliopsida; Arecales; Arecaceae. The record is from RNAcentral.